RNAcentral lists this ribosomal RNA (460 nucleotides) under uncultured bacterium. RNAcentral's name for it is "partial 16S ribosomal RNA". It matches the Rfam family "Bacterial small subunit ribosomal RNA", at positions 338 to 795 of the family's 1533-position model. The record is from RNAcentral.
CCUACGGGAGGCAGCAGUGAGGAAUAUUGGUCAAUGGACGCGAGUCUGAACCAGCCAAGUAGCGUGCAGGAUGACUGCCCUAUGGGUUGUAAACUUCUUUUAUAAAGGAAUAAAACGAGGCACGUGUGCCUUUUUUCAUGUAUUUUAUGAAUAAGGAGCGGCUAAAUCCGUGCCAGCAGCCGCGGUAAUACGGAGGAUCCGAGCGUUAUCCGGAUUUAUUGGGUUUAAAGGGAGCGUAGAUGGGUUGUUAAGUCAGUUGUGAAAGUUUGCGGCUCAACCGUGAAAUUGCAGUUGAUACUGGCGGUCUUGAGUACAGUUGAGGUAGGCGGAAUUCGUGGUGUAGCGGUGAAAUGCUUAGAUAUCACGAAGAACCCCGAUUGCGAAGGCAGCUUACUAGGCUGUGACUGACGUUGAGGCUCGAAAGUGUGGGUAUCAAACAGGAUUAGAUACCCUGGUAGUC